AUGACAGGUGCACGAUAAAUUGAAUUUUUAUCACUUUUUUUUUCUAUAUUUGCAAAAACACGAUAACACCACACUGCAAUAUUCAUAUUUUAUAUAGCGAAAAUUAUUAUGCAAUUUUAAGAUUUUUACUUCGCAAAUGACAUAAUUUUUUUGUGUAAAUGGGGUUCCACCGGCCGACCACCUGCGAACAGAUUGGAUACAAAAUUACAAGGGACACGAAUCAUGGUGUGGUUUGCCGGCUACACCGAAUGGUAAACAGUUAUUCACAGUGCAAGCUAUGGUGUAGGUACUGCCUAGUUUUGAAUGCAAUUUCGGCUGGAAAGACCGGAUUGUAUACAAUAUAAAAGACAAAUUAAGAUAUCAACGAGAGUAAAAAAAUUAAAUUAGCUCGAGCAAUGCGCAUUUCCUCAGCGGAAGAGUUGUCCGUCUGUGACCAUCGCAAUUCCCUACCGUUACGGACGAUUCAGUUUUCCGGAACGCACAACACUAGCCCAUUGUGCUGUGGAACGGGUGUGUGAGAACAAGAAAAAGGAUACACAAUUAUAGAAUUUUAUUAUCUAUGGAUAAUGGAAGAGAUCCGAGGUAUAAUGAUGAUUUGGAGCGAUUAGACUGAAUUAAUAAUAGAAAAAAAAAAAUAGAAGUUAUUAUUCAAUUAAGGAUAAAUUCUAUUUCUAAAUGAAGAUUGUUUUUAAUUCGUACGAUUUUUUUUUAUAUAAAAUUUAAGAGACGUUCAUCACCUCAAUUGUGAGUUGAUUUUAAUUUUUUUUUUUAAUUUAAGAAUUUUCUCCGUGUUGUGUAUAGAUGCUGUCAAAUUUGUAAUCGGUUUUAUGUAAAUUUAUUAUUAAAAAUUCAAGACAUAAAUGGAAGUAAACAAAAUAUAAUAUUAUGUCUAAAUUACUUAAAUUGGAUACUACAUAGGAAUAUGGUAUGUUCACGGCAUAGAAUGGGCCAUCCCUUACUUUCCUGUGAGUAGCAUAAGAGACGACUAAGAGAAUUAUAUGAUCGAAGGAUGCAGCAGCAUCCCUCUCAAAAUAUGUAUCAUCAAAGUUUUAAAUGCAAUUGCCAACUCCCCUGCCAAACGUGGGCAAAAGCCUCCUUAUGGGGAGGCCUAUGUUCAGCAGUGGACACAGUGGACAGUUAACAGCAGAUAUGAUGAUGGUGAUGAUGAUGAUACCUAACUAUAAUGAUAUAAAUAUAAUUAUAAAUAAGUUCUAUCUAGGCAACUACAUUUAUGUAAAUACCUUUAUAUACAGAUAUUAAUAUAUAAAUAAU
Long non-coding RNA from Galleria mellonella (greater wax moth), 1272 nucleotides. RefSeq lists it as uncharacterized. The record is from RefSeq and is a predicted model, not a curated record. The transcript has 3 exons. Lineage: Eukaryota; Metazoa; Arthropoda; Insecta; Lepidoptera; Pyralidae.